GGCGAACGCUGGCGGCGUGCUUAACACACGCAAGUCGAACGGAAAGGCCCUGCUUUUGUGGGGUGCUCGAGUGGCGAACGGGUGAGUAACACGUGAGUAACCUGCCCUUGACUUUGGGAUAACUUCAGGAAACUGGGGCUAAUACCGGAUAGGAGCUCCUGCUGCAUGGUGGGGGUUGGAAAGUUUCGGCGGUUGGGGAUGGACUCGCGGCUUAUCAGCUUGUUGGUGGGGUAGUGGCUUACCAAGGCUUUGCCGGGUCGCCGGCCUGAGAGGGUGACCGGCCACAUUGGGACUGAGAGACGGCCCAGACUCCUACGGGAGGCAGCAGUGGGGAAUAUUGCACAAUGGGCGGAAGCCUGAUGCAGCAACGCCGCGUGCGGGAUGACGGCCUUCGGGUUGUAAACCGCUUUCGCCUGUGACGAAGCGUGAGUGACGGUAAUGGGUAAAGAAGCACCGGCUAACUACGUG
This 468-nucleotide ribosomal RNA is filed under the name uncultured bacterium. RNAcentral's name for it is "partial 16S ribosomal RNA". It matches the Rfam family "Bacterial small subunit ribosomal RNA", at positions 28 to 507 of the family's 1533-position model. The record is from RNAcentral.